RNAcentral lists this small RNA (575 nucleotides) under Pan troglodytes (chimpanzee). Its description in RNAcentral is "processed transcript". The record is from RNAcentral. Lineage: Eukaryota; Metazoa; Chordata; Mammalia; Primates; Hominidae.
AAUCUGUCUUUCUAGCAUGUUGCCCUUUUUCAACCACAUUUGUGUUUCAGGUGUAGAGAGGAGAGAGUGAACAGGGAGCGGGGCUUUUGUCUGUUUAUUACCCAGAACUCUUUGUCUGGGUCAGUCAAGAACCAUUUCUAAACAAGGACAUGGAGGGAAGGCUUCCUAAGGGAAGACUUCCUGUCCCAAAGGAAGUGAACCGCAAGAAGAACGAUGAGACAAACGCUGCCUCCCUGACUCCACUGGGCAGCAGUGAACUCCGCUCCCCAAGAAUCAGUUACCUCCACUUUUUUUAAUCGUAACACCUCCAUUUGUAUUACAUAUGGUGUAUGGGUAUUGAUGAGGUCAUGGUAUCAUAUAUGGGAUUUUUUUCUGUGUAAAUCAUCAAGUAUAAGAAGAAACUAUGGGACUCUGAGCCUUGCUUUAGAGAAUUUACAGUGGACAAAUAGGUAUCAUCAAACCAGUUUUUAAUCAUUCUGACUCAAGUGAAAACGCUCAGAAUUUCACACUGUGAAUCCACGUUUACAACCCUUACAGGUGGGCCUUCAGGCCUGGUUCGCUACAACAAUGUCUUC